This 543-nucleotide ribosomal RNA is filed under the name Phaeomoniella sp. f226. RNAcentral describes it as "eukaryotic LSU rRNA". It matches the Rfam family "Eukaryotic large subunit ribosomal RNA", at positions 50 to 601 of the family's 3401-position model. Lineage: Eukaryota; Fungi; Ascomycota; Eurotiomycetes; Phaeomoniellales; Phaeomoniellaceae. The record is from RNAcentral.
GCGGAGGAAAAGAAACCAACAGGGAUUACCUUAGUAACGGCGAGUGAAGCGGUAAUAGCUCAAAUUUGAAAUCUGGCUCUAGGGUCCGAGUUGUAAUUUGUAGAGGAUGUUUCGGGUGCGCCCGCAGUUUAAGUUCCUUGGAACAGGACGUCAUAGAGGGUGAGAAUCCCGUCUUGAACUGUACGGCAAGUCCAUGUGAAACUCCUUCGACGAGUCGAGUUGUUUGGGAAUGCAGCUCAAAAUGGGAGGUAAAUUUCUUCUAAAGCUAAAUAUUGGCCAGAGACCGAUAGCGCACAAGUAGAGUGAUCGAAAGAUGAAAAGCACUUUGAAAAGAGAGUUAAACAGUAUGUGAAAUUGUUAAAAGGGAAGCGUUUGCAACCAGACUUGUUUCUAACAGUUCUACCGCAGUUCUCUGUGGCCUAUUCUGUUAGUCCAGGCCAGCAUCAGUUUGGGUGGCUCGUUAAAGACUUUGGGAAUGUAUCUACUCCUUCGGGUGUAGACUUAUAGCCCCAUUGUGUAAUAGGGUCUACCUGGACUGAGGUA